RNAcentral lists this long non-coding RNA (281 nucleotides) under Cervus hanglu yarkandensis (Yarkand deer). RNAcentral's name for it is "lncRNA (ENSCHYG00000022462.1)". The record is from RNAcentral. Lineage: Eukaryota; Metazoa; Chordata; Mammalia; Artiodactyla; Cervidae.
CUUAGCUCUUCCUGAGUUUCUUGAGUGAAGAUCAUUUUUGUCCUGGAUCCACAUUUCAUAAGAAAGCGAUAGCAUCUCUGAAUGGGGCUGUGUGGAGAAACCCUAGGAGAAACAGCAUAAAAGCAUUUUGGAAUAUAUCCCGCAAAAGAUAACUUUCUACACAUCUGGCAGAGAUUCUCCAGGUAAAGGUAAGAAAAGAAGACAUGGUGAAAGGUAGAGUCAAAUAAUUUCGUGACAUCACAGUGGGUGAGCUUUGGAGUAACACAGAGCACUGAUGCAGG